Molecule: non-coding RNA, 4491 nt
Organism: Heterocephalus glaber (naked mole-rat)
Lineage: Eukaryota; Metazoa; Chordata; Mammalia; Rodentia; Bathyergidae
Source: RefSeq, a predicted model, not a curated record
UCCCGUUUCUUUCUUUUUUGAGACAAGGUCUCACUACAUAGCCCAGGUGAGCCUCAAACUCUUGGCAAUUCUUAGCCUCAGCCUCCUGAGUGCUGGGAUUACAGGCAUGCACCACCACAUCUGGCUUGGUUUUUUCUCUGUGUCUGUGUCCUAAUUCCCUUUUCCUAUGAGCACAGCAGUUUCAGUGGAUUAGGACCUGCCAUAUAAUCUCAUUUUAACUUAAUGAGCUCUUUACACACACUAUGUCCAAAUAGUCCCAUUCAGAAAUAGUAGGAACCCUGGGGGGACAUGUGGAUUUUAGGGAGAUGUAAAGGACAGCCCAUAACAGCAGAGCAGCAUUUUUGAACCCUCCAUCAUUGUUCAUAGGACUGUGAAUGUUUUAUAAAUAUUAAUAUUGGUAGUGCGGAGGUAUAGUAGUUAGAGUUCAUUUAAUCUUCAGCUUACAGAAACCCUGAAAUAACAGUGACUUUUAAAAAAGUUAAUAGAUUUACAAGACAGGGAGGGUUCUCAUAUUACUCCCACCACUGUGCUCCAUUUACCCUGUCAUUCACAGUGUAGUUGAUUAAAGUAAUGUACCAAUAUUGAUAGAUCACUGUUCAAUAAAGUCCAUAGUUUAUUGAGGGUUUUUUAGCUUUUACUUAAUAUCCUUUUCUCUAGAAUACUACAUUUCUUUUAGGAGUUCUUAAUUUUAAUAAGUUGCAACUUACCAACUUUGUCUUUCAUGCAUCAUGUUCUGGCAUUGUAUUUAAUAACUUUGUUUGUGUUUUGGGCACUGCUGGUUAUUAAACCCAGAGCCUAGGGCCAGGGAUUUAGCUCAGUGGUUUCGUCGCCUGCUGCGCAAGUGCAAGGACCUGAGCUUGAUCCCUGGUACCAAAAACAAAACAAAACAAAAAAACCCCAGAGCCUCGUAUGUGCCAUACUUUGCACUAUCACUGACCUACAUACCACCCUUCCCACUGUGUUUAAAAGCACAUCACCAAAUUCAAAGCCACCUGGAUUUUCUCCUAUGGUACCUUCUGGAAGUUUUAUUUAUCAAACUGGCGAUCUGCUAGUUUCUACCCAUCCUCCAGAAAUUCCCAUUCUGCUACGGCAACUCAGCAGCUCUUCAGCUUAUUGCUUGGCAUGGUUGCAGCAUUAUCUGUGCCUCUGAGUCUAUAUGUUUGAAAAGAGGGGACACCCAUAUUGUCUGUCUUGCCUGGCUAUGGUAAAAGAGAUGCUGAUGUGUAAAUGUGAUAGAAGCCAAUUAGCACGAAGGGAGAAAAAAGGAUAACUAGUGCUGAGGCCAACUCUAUGGCUUCUCUUCCCUGGCAGCUAAGCCAGACAGCACAGUGUUUCUGGAGAAAACCAAAGUGAUAGGUAAAGACAGACACCUCGUGUGUUAGUCAAGCGGGUUCUACCCAGAAGCCAUUAACAUAACAUGGGAGAAGUGGACCCAGAAGGUUCCCCAGUACCAAGGGAUUUCCAAGGACAUCUGUACUGGUCCCUCCAUCAAGAAUGAGGAUAGUGGGCUGGGGAUUUAGCUCAGUGGUUUCACCGCCUGCCGUGCAAGCGCAAGGACCCAAGUUUGAUCCCCUGUACCAAAAAAAUAAUAAUAAUAAUGAGGAUGGUAUAUUUAGCAUCAUCAGCUGCUUGAAACUCAGUGCCUGUCUGGAAGACAGUGGCACCAUCUACCAAUGUGUGGUGGGGCACACAUCCUUGAACGCCUCCCAGAGGCUGAACUUCACACUGCCUGUGAGAGGUAAGUGUCUUCUUAUUCUUCACCUUGGUUCCUGGGCAGUAUAAGGUUUUUGCUAGUGUUUGAUGGGGGAAAAGAGUAAGCUUGGGCUAAGGGAACAAUCUGGGAUCUGGCCCAGCUCAGCCCCAGUGGCAGCAGUCUGAGUUCAGUCCCUGUGCUGGGCAAAUGGUGUGGUAGGUGGAAAGGGGUGAAAAUAAUCAUUAGAUGGAAACAGGGCUACUUGUCGGCUCAUGGCAACCUCAGGGUGCCUGAUAGUUCAUGUGGCUUGGAGUGGGAGUCCUAUCCGCUGCCGGGGAAAUGAGGACAUACCCUGCUUGCAUCCCCUGAUGAUGAGGGCCUAUGGGAGCCAAGGACCAGCACCCCUUCUAGUCAGGUUCCAAGUCCACCAUAAACUGUUGUCUGGUAGAAGCAAAUCCAGGAGCUAUUUAUAGGCUCUGGUCCAAGACAAGGAGGCCCUACUGUUGUGAUCCUACAGAUGCCCACCACUCUCCACACAUAGCAGACCCUUAUUAUAACACAACUGCUUGCAGAGCUUUCUAUGCUAGGGCUUUUGGGGUUCAUAUCUGGGUUUCCCUGUUCAUGGCUGUGGUCUUGUGCAGGAGAUGACCCUGUUGGUCAAAUGUAUGUUCCUGAAAUGAGAGAAAUAAGGGAGGCAAUGGCCAACCAGGUGUCCUGGCAGGUGUGGUCAGGACAAGCCAGAUGGGGGUGUGGAUGAUCCUACAAGGAGAAAGGAAUUGUUCUUGAAUCAAGGGCUGGGCUAUGUGUGGGUAGCGUGUGUGGGGUAUGUGGGGCAUGGAGAGUGCACAUGGACCCCAUUGAAAUAUGCUUUGUGUGCAUGGUAGGAAGGCUUUGUCUGAGCGCUGUGGAUGUAAGUGGUAAGAGAUGGUGUGUUUGGGAAGUUGGGAAGACGUCUGUGGCGUGCGUAUGUGGGAUGUGGUGUUUAAUACUGUAUUUCUAGACAAGUGCUCAGUGCUCUGAUGUGGGAGAUGUGUGUGAAAGGAAUGGUGAUACUGAGACUUGUGGCUUGGGGUUGGUGGUUGGCUCUCUUGACAGGAAAAUGACAUGAAGCUCACACAUGUUAGCAGCAGCUGUUUUGUUUGUGGUGUCUUAGGUUUCUUCUUACUGUUCUCUUUUUCUCUGCAGAAGCUGAGAAGAUAGAUCUCUCUUGGAUUCUUAUUUUUUCUUCUUUUUGACUGAUUUUAAUAAUGCUUUUUUUCUUUUUGUAUAUUUGGAGAAGGUUCUAUUCAUAUAAGCCAGUAUCGAACAAUGGCAGUGAAGAAGUGUCUCGAGUAGACAUGGAGGCCACUCUCGAGGCCAAAGGCCCUCUGAGUUAGGCCACCCUGGGGCUUGGAGGAGCCAAAGGAAGUCGGCACAUCUGUCAAACAAAGAUCCCAAGAGAUGAGCAAUGUCCCAAAUGCAAUGGUUUAUUGAGCAUUUAUCACAUUCAUAGCAAGACAGAAGGGAUCGCACCGAUGGCAUCAGCUGGAAGCUGGAGGUGGUGCCGAUGGUACAGAAUCUUUCUUCCACCCGGCCAACAUGCCAUGAGGACACUGGGGGCCCGAUGGCGCUGGAACUUAUGGCAAUCCAGAGACCAGUACAGCUAGGGAACCAAGUGGGGCACUCUGGACCAGCAGAGUGACUGUCACAGACAGUUGCAGAGCUGGAGCGGCAGUUCCACGAGGAGCCAUGCUCAAGCAGAGUCCGCAAGCAUUGAGCCAGAAGACUGAGCUAAAGAGCCGCUGGAGGGUUUGGCUUUCAUGCAGUGGGGAGUUUGAAACAAGCAACAUGUUCUAAUCUUAUAUGUGUACAGAUAACAUGUGCUAAUCCUAUGGUGGUGAAAAAGAUAUUUUUCUUUAUGGUAAAACUAUAUUUUUGAAAGGGUUCACCGGAUAAGAUUUUUGGCAUACCGAUUUCAUGGUUAUUGCAAGCUAGUUUAGACUCAGAAAGUAAGUUUAAAGCAGACAGAAGCAUAAGAUGGCUUCCGUCCUGCUCACAUCAAGAAGGAACCACAGUGCCAACAGAAGACUCCAAUCCUUCACGUGUCUCUAAGUCCACGUCUGUUGCUGCAUAGCUUUGCAGUGCCCUCCAGUCCUGGGCAGUCCCUUGACACUGGGCUCAAACAUGUGCCUUGCUUCAUACAAGAAAGUGACUCCAGGCCAGUUCCCAGUUUAGGCCUCUUGUCUUCCUUUGGUGUCUUUGGUGCCUCUGACAUGAGAGAAGCAUGAAUCCAGGCCGGCCAGGAGGAGGAUGUGCAAUACAAGAAGCAGAGCCACAUCAUCCUAGGUGAAGUGACAACCAUUCAUCUCUGCUUAGGCAAGUGUAGCUGUAGUUAGAAGAGCUGACAGAGCCAACUGUAAAAACAAGAGAGAUAUAUAGUUUUAGUACCAGAAAUCGAACUCAGGACCUUGCACUUGCCAGGCAGAAAAGGCACCACUGAGCUACAUCCCCAGGCCUAGAAAAAUAUUUUUUAUUUAAAUGUUUAUUUUUAGACUGAUCUUGGUGGUGCAUGCCUGUAAACUCAGCACUUGGAAGGCUGAGGCAGGAAGAUCACUGAGAGUUCAAGGCCAGACUGGGCUACACAGAAUUACCCCCAAGUCCUGAUUGAACUCAGAACCUCAAGUUUGCCAGGCAGGUGCUGUGCCGCUGAGCUACAUCCCCAGCCCUUGUUGUGAACUUGUGAUUCCCCUUUGGAAUCUGCUUCCCAGAAACUCAAAGGGACCCAAAAAGGGACUGAGCAGUGUACUGAGGGACAUGGU